Molecule: ribosomal RNA, 500 nt
Filed under: uncultured bacterium
Lineage: Bacteria
Description: partial 16S ribosomal RNA
Rfam family: Bacterial small subunit ribosomal RNA
Source: RNAcentral
AUUGAACGCUGGCGGCAGGCCUAACACAUGCAAGUCGAGCGGUAGAGAGAAGCUUGCUUCUCUUGAGAGCGGCGGACGGGUGAGUAAUGCCUAGGAAUCUGCCUGGUAGUGGGGGAUAACGUUCGGAAACGGACGCUAAUACCGCAUACGUCCUACGGGAGAAAGCAGGGGACCUUCGGGCCUUGCGCUAUCAGAUGAGCCUAGGUCGGAUUAGCUAGUUGGCGGGGUAAUGGCUCACCAAGGCGACGAUCCGUAACUGGUCUGAGAGGAUGAUCAGUCAACCUGGAACUGAGACACGGUCCAGACUCCUACGGGUGGCAGCAGUGGGGAAUAUUGGACAAUGGGCGAAAGCCUGAUCCAGCCAUGCCGCGUGUGUGAAGAAGGUCUUCGGAUUGUAAAGCACUUUAAGUUGGGAGGAAGGGCAAUAAAUUAAUACUUUGCUGUUUUGACGUUACCGACAGAAUAAGCACCGGCUAACUCUGUGCCAGCCGCCGCCGUAA